Molecule: ribosomal RNA, 253 nt
Filed under: uncultured bacterium
Lineage: Bacteria
Description: partial 16S ribosomal RNA
Rfam family: Bacterial small subunit ribosomal RNA
Source: RNAcentral
UACGGGGGGGGCAAGCGUUGUUCGGAAUCACUGGGCGUAAAGCGCACGUAGGCGGACUCUUAAGUCGGUGGUGAAAUCCUGGAGCUCAACUCCAGAACUGCCUUCGAUACUGAGAGUCUCGAGUCCGGGAGAGGUGAGUGGAACUGCGAGUGUAGAGGUGAAAUUCGUAGAUAUUCGCAAGAACACCAGUGGCGAAGGCGGCUCACUGGCCCGGUACUGACGCUGAGGUGCGAAAGCGUGGGGAGCAAACAGG